AUGGAACAUGUCAGGUUCCUCCAGGACGUGGGGGCUGGUCCUCUCUGGUUAGACAGCUGUCAGCCCAACAGAGCUCAGAGAGUCGGUGACUAUUGGAGACGUCAAAGCAGGAGUGCACAGCGAGGAGCAGUCCAGUUCGAGUCCCAAGGGUGUUAACCCGCCUGUUGAAAUGGUUUGGGAAGGAGCAAGGAGGGCAGCAGUUCAAACUGUGUGAGCUCAGCCGAUGUGUGUUCUCAAGGCUGUGUGAAGUGGAUUAGGACCCAGCUGCUCCACUGUAUAACGUCACUGUCCAAAGCUGACCUGAACACAUGGUGGCCAGGGAAGGAGAGUUUGGGGUCCCCUGCUGGAGCUGUUGCCCAAUGCCCCUGUGACCCAAUCCCAGAUAAGUGUUUGAAG
Long non-coding RNA from Thalassophryne amazonica, 396 nucleotides. RefSeq lists it as uncharacterized. The record is from RefSeq and is a predicted model, not a curated record. NCBI's taxonomy places the organism in Eukaryota, Metazoa, Chordata, Actinopteri, Batrachoidiformes, Batrachoididae. The transcript is spliced from 3 exons.